RNAcentral lists this transfer RNA (71 nucleotides) under Ips acuminatus. Its description in RNAcentral is "tRNA-Lys". The record is from RNAcentral. Lineage: Eukaryota; Metazoa; Arthropoda; Insecta; Coleoptera; Curculionidae.
CAUUAGAUAACUUAAAGCAAGUGAUGGUCUCUUAAACCAAAUUAUAGUAGAAUAGCACCUACUUCUAAUGA